This 111-nucleotide non-coding RNA is filed under the name Paramoeba aestuarina. The record is from RNAcentral. Lineage: Eukaryota; Discosea; Flabellinia; Dactylopodida; Paramoebidae.
GAGAAUGAGAAAGACAACGAGAAAGAGAACGAGAAAUGAUGAAAGAAAGGGGAUAUGUUUUGUGAAGUUUUUUUGUUUAUUUUGAUCUUUCUUUGCCAAAUAUUUGACAUU